This is a long non-coding RNA of Gasterosteus aculeatus aculeatus (three-spined stickleback), 1254 nucleotides long. The record is from Ensembl. Lineage: Eukaryota; Metazoa; Chordata; Actinopteri; Perciformes; Gasterosteidae.
UGUUGAAUGUCUUGUAAGUUCCUGGUCCCCGUCUGCAUUUUUGGCUCUUGGCAUUUUUUUUGAGCAUUUAGUGAGCUGCCGACGAUCCGAACUUUGACUGGACCCUAAAACACCGCUAUUUAUUUUACCCUCUACAUCUUUACAUUUUGACAAAUUGGAAAUAUUAAACGUACGCAGAGUUCAUUAAAAGUUCUCAUUUGCAGUGUAUCUGAGUUCCCAGACAACUGUCAGUGGAUUACCCUGAUACUGAAACAAAGUGACGCUCCUCUGGCAAGUUCGGUAGUUGUAAUGAGCUCGUCGUUACUCCGUGAUUUGGGUGUUACUUUACAAUGCACAUUGUCGGGAGGAAGGAUCACACUGAAUAUCUUGCAUUACUCCCGCAGAAGACGUGUCUCAACCUGUAUUGACACCCACAGAAGCACGAUCAAGAAUUGUACAUCUGAAAACUGCGGCAGUCAGAACCGAACACGGAGAAGCAGCGUCCAGUUCUUCAGCUUCACGUAUCUGGAACAAAUUCCCAGAGAGCUGCAGGUCUGCCGAGAUUCCGGCAGCUUCAAAUUAAGACUGAAGACGUUUCUCUUUGCUGCUGCUUUUAAUUUAACCAGAUUAAGUCAAUUCAGCAGGUUCUUUUUUUAUAAAUCUCAGUUUUCAUUAUGACUCCGAUUUGAUGACUCUGAUUUACACUCACCAUGUGUCCCCCUUGUUUCAGGUGUGUUCACUUCCCUCAUGUCUUCCCAGCCUUAGCAGCUGCCCUUCCCGAUUGUGUCCACCUGUGUUUCAUUAACAUCCCUUCCCCUUGUGUACUUAAGGGGUGUGCACUGUGUUGUUUGCGCGCCAGUUUGUCUUGUACUAUUUGUCAAGUGUGGCAGGACCUUUGUGCCAAACUAGUUAGUGGUUUCCUGGUCAAGCCUUCGACCCCGAUUACCCUUUCUGGAUGCCGUCUCUUGUCUCUUGCCUUCUACUAGUUUGUGUUGCAAACCCUGCCUGUCCUUGACCAUGUUUUUGUAAAUAAUGCUUCCUGUGACAUAAUCCCCAAGUUGUGAACCUUAAAAACAGUAUAGUGAAUCUAUUGUAAGCUUCUUUAUUAUUUAGUGUCGGUUUUUGAUUUUUUAAUCAACAAUUUUCUUAAAGAUUUUUAAAUUUUCUUUCUUUUUGUUUUGGUGGUUUUGAUGGUACAAUGUGCAAGACUGAAUUGAUUUUUUGUUGAAAUGCGAUACAAUGCAAAGUGCUACACAAAUAAACCUGCCUUGGCUA